RNAcentral lists this long non-coding RNA (649 nucleotides) under Sinocyclocheilus anshuiensis. RNAcentral describes it as "lncRNA (ENSSANG00000016737.1)". Lineage: Eukaryota; Metazoa; Chordata; Actinopteri; Cypriniformes; Cyprinidae. The record is from RNAcentral.
CUGAAGGGUUGGCUGAAGCUCUUAGAUCUGUUGCAAGCUUACAGUUAUGGAACUUUAUGGGGUUUUCUCUGCCUGUGUCCUCCCUCUUCUCUCUGGAGAGCUCCAGUCUGAAAUCUUCUGACAUGCACUGUGAGAAGAGUGAGGGCAGAUGCUACCGAAGUCAGUUCUCCACAAGAGGAAACCGGAAAACAAAAUUCCAAAAAUAUAUCAGGAGUUUUGGAUUAAUUCUAUGAAGAAGGAUUUACACCGAGCACAGCACACUGGACUUUCAGAAUUGGUGACAUCUAUGCGUCUUCCUGGUCUGAAAACUCCCCCUGCUUUAAGCCCGUCCUCUGUGUUGAGCCCACCAGGACUACAGGCUACGCCAUACACUCUAUGGCAGAAGCUACCGCAAGUAAAGAGUCUGCUGAACUCCCUCAGUGUGCAUGAGAUCCAGCUUCAGGAGGUGUGUAUUGCAGAACACUAACAAGUCUUGCAUGCAAAAUGUGACCUUGGUCUGAUGCCUACUGUUAUGCCACAAUUCUUAUCCCUCUGUUUUUGUGCUUUCGGUCAAGGCCAUGUUUGAGCUGAUUGUGUCAGAGGCCUCGUAUCAGAAGAGUCUGAUAGUAGCACAGAAUGUGUUUCAGUGCUCAGCUGAACUCCAACAGAU